This is a long non-coding RNA of Adelges cooleyi (spruce gall adelgid), 1310 nucleotides long. RefSeq lists it as uncharacterized. NCBI's taxonomy places the organism in Eukaryota, Metazoa, Arthropoda, Insecta, Hemiptera, Adelgidae. The transcript is spliced from 4 exons. The record is from RefSeq and is a predicted model, not a curated record.
GUUAUGUCAUAACUCGUAUUUUAUAAUUUUUGAAAUAUAUGCAUAAAUAUAUCAGUUGAUAACAUUUGCUCUCGACUUUAUUUUGACGUUUCAUUCUUGGAGACGCCAUUAAUUUAAUAGGUUGAAUGCUUUAUUUCCGGAAAUAUUUUAUCAUUUAAAAACCAAUGUUAUCAUGUCAGAAAUAUCAAUGGUGUUGUGAAUGGGCUAUACCAAUUGAAGGGGUCCGUGCAAAAACGAGACAACUCCAAUUUUGGCGAAAAUAGGUUUUUGGCCGUUUCCAAUUAAGAAAAAUUUGACGAGUAUAUCUGUGUAAGAACGAGACAAAUCCGACCACCGGUAUAGGAAAUAUAAUGGAACUGGAGCUGUCUGGUUUUUUUUUUUCCAUUGAAAAACCAGAUAGCUCCGGAGUUAUCUGGUUUUUGCGCCGAAUGUUGUCUACACUAAAAUCAGUUGUCUUAAAGUAAGAAUAAAUAAUAUUAAUAAUUUUUUGAUAAAAAAAAAAAUUGAAAUAAUAAAUACAAAGUUCGGGUCAAAAAACAAGAUAGCUCCAACAAUUUUGGGUUAAUUUUAGCUCACAUCUCAAAUCAAAAACCCUAAUCAAAUCACGUACUACGUCAUCUUUUUCAUCAUGGUCUAAUAUAUAUUAAUUGAUAAUAACAUUAGUUUUACCUUAAACUCAAUAUUUUUAAAAUAGUUGUUUUUGUUUCUUGAAAAGUUUAAAAAAAUGGAGUUGUCUCGUUUUUGCACGGACCCCUUCAAUUACUAUGGAAAUGUCUUUUCAAUUGGACCCAAGACCUUACAAUUUUAUAUCAAGGUGUAAAUUUAAAUAUAAAGCAUUAGUUUAAUAGGUUGAAUGCUUUUUUACUGCAAAUAUUUUAUCUUUUAAAAACCAAUGUUAUCAUGUAAAAUUGGUUUUGAGUAUGACAUAUCAAUUACUAUGGGAAUUUCUUUCCAAUUGGACCCAAGACCUUACAAUUAUAUAUCAAGGUGUAAAUUAUAAGUAUAAAACAUUUAUUUCUUAUAUGACAUUUUUUCAUGUGAAUGUAUAAUAUCAACACUAAGCAAUUUGAAUGAAAAGUGUGUUACAGACCAGUUUCAUUUAUUUUUAAAAAUAUCAGUAAUUAAUGUAUGAAUUUCAUAUUAUUACAUACAAGGAAUCACUUCUUGAUUAUAUCAAUAUCGUUUUUUAUUUUAUUUUAAGCCUAUUUUAAGUUAUUUCCUACAAUGAUUUAACCCAUAUAUAGUGUCUGACAUACAUUACGGAUAUUUUAUCAUAAAGUUUUAGCUAUAACUGACACAGGUAUUUGGCU